This is a non-coding RNA of Punica granatum (pomegranate), 2877 nucleotides long. NCBI's taxonomy places the organism in Eukaryota, Viridiplantae, Streptophyta, Magnoliopsida, Myrtales, Lythraceae. The record is from RefSeq and is a predicted model, not a curated record.
UGCUUCAGCCAUACGUUUAUAAUAUAUAUGUAUACAUGUAUAUAAACAUGUAAGUAAAGUACUAUUUGAAAUUAAAAAAAUAUCAGGUCUCACAGCCUCCUACCCCUCCGUCAAUAAUCAAGGUCAUUGGGCUAUUGUAUGGAAUCGAGACUCCUCCGGAUCCUUCUCUGUUGCUUCGGCAUGUGCUCUUCUUGUGGAGGAUGAGUGGGAUGACUCCAAGCCUUUGUGGAAGCUUAUAUGGAAGUGGAGGAGCCCUCAACAGGUACCAAGUUUUUUGUGGCUAGUGGCGUAUAAUGGGCUGAUGACUAACGCUAAUUUGGUAGCCCGCCACAUCUCCACCUCGGCGCUUUGUCAUCGUGUGGGAGGGAAGAGGAGACAGUAAUCCAUGUCCUGCGGGAUUGCAUGCGCACCCGAGACCUCUGGUUGAAGAUUGUCCUUUAGGGUUUUCGUCAACCCUUCUUCUCUCUUUCCCUCGAGGACUGGUUGGUCUUUAAUCCGUAAAAAACGGGGAGUAUGGAGAUGCCGGGGUGCUGGGCAGGAGUGUUUGCGGUCAGGUGCUGGCUUUUAUGGUUUUGGCGUUACAAGGAGAUACUUGAAGAGGGAUUUAGGAGACCAACUAACGAAGGGGGCGUCCAUAGUAAAUAUUGCCUCAUCAUUCAUGCAUGCCGGUGAAUAUUGCCUCGUCACUCAUGCAUGCCGGUGCAUCAGACGAAAAGAAAAUAGUCUGAAUGUAGAUGGGGCCAAAAUUAGAAACAAGGCCACAAUUUAACAAGAAACAUUCGGGCAAACACUCAAUUCAGACAAAAGCAAUACGUGAAAUGAUCUUUUCGAUCCCAUCAGCAACAUAAGUACGACCCAUGGACAGGGGCAAGGCAAUGACAUUGGAAGAAAAGUCACAAUGGUGAGGGGAGAUCUAACAACAAAGGGUAGAGUCCAGAGCAGCAGUAGCCCCUAGCAAAUAGUGUUCUGAAGGAGGCCGGUCAGUGAAUUGCAGCGGCUCACUACAUCUUGCGGCAAAUUGAGGCAAGAUGAUCGUUCAAGUGACAGGGUCAAGUUGGGGUAAGGCUGCAGCGAUCAACAGAAACCUCAAGAGGAUGGGGCAUAGUAAGGCGAAGUUUGAGGCUUGGAGGAGGGCAGGGGCAGAGGAAAGGGGGUCAAGCGGAAAGAAAACCGAAUGUCUUAAGCAGAGCGCCCAGUGAAUUGAGUGGUUCUUUUGGGUGGCCACUAGAAAAUAGCGUUGAUAGAAAAGAGCAAGAUUGAAUGGAUUGAUGAAGGUACCCUGAGGGGUUGGAAUCGUAGAAUGGUGCUGAAAUGUAGGAGGUGUUGACGCUGUUGCAAGAAGGCCUCUCUGCAUAAGGUAAAAGCAGCGGGAGAUGCGCUGAAAGCAGGACCGGCUGUUUCUUCACUCUGUUGCAUUGCAAGAAAAGCCCCUCUGCAUCGUUAAAAGCAGUGGAGGCGCUGGAAAAAAGCCUCCCGCCCACCACCGACCAAGGUGAGGUCUCCAGCAAGAGUAGAGGUUGUCGGCAACCUCACCCUAGGCAAUGGUGGCCGGGAUUGGGGCCACCACCGCCCCUACCGUUCGGUCACUCUUCCCCUGACCCCCCUCCUUUCUCUCUCUACGAUUUUUGACCAAAAAUGAAGAAAUGACUAAAUUGCAAUUACAAAAAUGUUUAGAGGUCUCACUGUAAAUAUCAGAAAAUUGACCCCUGUUGAGCUCAUUAAUUCAGAAAAAAAAAGGUAGAAAAUUUUUACUUAAUUGAUUAAGUCAUCACCCAUAGAUUUUUUACAUAAUUUAAUCAAUAAGUCAAUUUGAAUUGCAUUUACCAAACAAGUUGAAUUGAAUCAAGUGUUGAAAAAUUAAUUUCAACACUUAAUUUUGGUUAUCAAACCCACCUGGUUUUUAGGUUCUUUUUGCUAUUAGUUGAACAUUUGACUUGACUAUUGGAUCAUGAAUUACUUACUUGGGUGAAGAGAUCACUUGACUUUUGUUAAGCAGUUCAUAAGAUUGGAUUGAUUUAUGCAUUAUACGUAGGGUAAUGCUAACAGGUAUUACAUGUAAGCCGUGAUAUUGGUGAAAUCCCCGGCGAUAGCCAUGACGCCGAGUGAGGCAGCAACGAACACACACUGCCCCACCCUAAGUGCCAUUCCGAUAUGCGAUGCAGGCAUACCCAAAAAAGCAGACGCUAAGUUAAACCAUAACCAGCCGCACCCUUGAAUAUAUAUGUUGAUGACGAGUAUGACCAAGCAUCUCGAGGACGGACUGGAGGCGUGAAGACUGUUAUGCACGGGUUCUGAAACCAAUAAAGAGAGCAAAAGGCAGAGGAUUUUCCAAUGUCAUGUCAUGUACCUUUUGUAGGUUUCCUCGUGCAACAUUUUCAUGGUGAAGGAUAAAGUAAUUUCAACUCUCCCACCACAAACGGGACGAUCCAGCUCUCUGGUGUCACAAGGAAAAGCACAAUAGAAAUUGCUCGUGAUCUCGGGUACCAGGUCGAGGAACAAGCUAUUCUGGUGGAAGAACUGAUGGGCGCUGAUGGAAGUCUUUGGCACUGGAACUGCUGCAGUAGUUGCACCAGUCGGUAGCAUAACAUACAAGGACAAGAGAUCAGAUGCUGAGGCCGUGCGCAGGAUGCUGUACAACACUUUCGUUGGGAUUCAGACGGUUGUCAUCGAAGUCUAGUUCAGGAGGACCGUGGAGAUCAAGUGAGGAGAUCUGCAAUUCUAAGGGCGAACUUCCUGGUUCAAUCAUGUUGAGUAGAUCUGCAUGAAUGCAAACUAUUGUUGUUCGCUUGUUGAAUUACCUGUACACGGACAUCAGCAAGGAACAUUGAUGUAUACUUUUGUGAAUGGAACUUUAGGAAACAACAUUUUGCAACUGAU